CUGGGAUACUGACACAGAACUAAUCUGCGCUUUGCCCCAAGGCUGCGUCCAAUUCGAUCAGUGCAUUUACAGUGAGGCAUUAUUACCUCUGCCUCUCAGGGGAUGCCUGGUAGAUGUCUGCUGAGAUCAAGCUUUGCUCAUUCCUCUGGCCCUCCUGUAACGCUAGCUGGUCUUCCGUAUACUGAAGGACACAAGAAGGAGCCAACAGACGUCAACAUCUGAUUUAGAGAAUAUGAGCAACCAGAGGGCAGCUUGUGCCUCUCCUUUCUGAAUUGUCAGAAGCCAGCAUCGGAGUGACGUGCAGGAGGAUGAACAACAAAUGCUUGUUGAAUUAGGAGAUUGAAUUAGUGAAGCACAGUGGAUGGAUGCUGAAUGAAUGACUAAACAGAAAACGUCUCCGGUGAGAAAAGAAAGACUAAGUUUUCCAAGUGAGGUUUUGUGUGUGUGUAUGUUUCGACUGAUAAAAGCUAGACAAUAUGAGCUCAUCUCUUCGGAGUUUAUGAAAACUUACCUGUUGAAAAAGACUGGUGAAGAAAUGGUAGGAAGAAGACAUUUUUAAAGUUGGUGGAUUUCUUGCCAAUAUCUUCACUUGGGAGGACAUUCCAAUGGCGUCCUGUGGGAGUGAUAUCCCGCUCUGAAAGGCACGAUACAAGGUGAGGUAAAGGCCAUUUGGAGGUGCUUGUGAUUCUGCUGCACGAUGUUCAGAUCCCUGACUCCCCACGGAAUGAAUCUAUCAGACUUAAUUGCAUUUUCCUUCAACUUUGAAAACAUUCCAUUGGAAAACACUCCAGGUCAGUUGAUUGAUCUAGGUCUUUUCAGAUAAAUGUAUAUGCAGAACCCACAGCAUCUUUCAAUGAAUCAGAUUUUUGAAAAAUCUUUAAGGGGCCGGCCUAGUGGCAUAGUGGUUAAGUUGACACCCUCCGCUUUGGCGGCCCAGGGUUUUGCAGGUUCAGAUCCUGGGUGUGGACCUAGCACUGCUCAUCAAGCCAUGCUAUGGCAGCAUUCCACUAAAAUAAAGGAAGAUUGGCAUAGAUGUUAACUCAGCAACAAUAUUCCUCAAGCAAAAAGAGGAAGAUUGGGAACAGAUGCUAGGUCAAGGCCAAUCUUCCUCACACACAAAAAAAUCUUUAAGUGUGAUGAGGAGAGAAGGUGAGCAUAAAACCUUUAAACAAAUAGCU
RNAcentral lists this long non-coding RNA (1178 nucleotides) under Equus asinus (donkey). Its description in RNAcentral is "lncRNA (ENSEASG00005029622.1, ENSEASG00020019199.1)". Lineage: Eukaryota; Metazoa; Chordata; Mammalia; Perissodactyla; Equidae. The record is from RNAcentral.